CCUGCUGUGGGUCUAGCUGUCCUGACGAGCAUCACACGGGAGUGAAAGUGCCACAGUCCCCCAGCUAUUGCCUGUGGUCUCUGAGAGCUCCCCUCCAAACCUCCUUCAAGGGUCUCUUGAGGAAACAGCUUCCCCUGAGCCAGCACUGUCAGGCCAUGGCAAGAAGCAUCCACCCCUAAUCAGCAGGAGCAAGAUGUGCCUGGAAAUCACCCAGAAAUCAGUGGUUGUGAGCACAUCGAUGCAGGGAUGCUGAUCCCCUCUCAGUGCAGGAGCAGUGCGGGCUGCGGCCCCAUCCCCGCCGGGCUGUGCCCUGAAACACAGGGAACUCUCCCCAAAUCCCCCCGCAAAGAGCCGCAUCUUCGCAGCACGGCGGAGGCAGCUGC
This is a long non-coding RNA of Zonotrichia leucophrys gambelii, 383 nucleotides long. RefSeq lists it as uncharacterized. NCBI's taxonomy places the organism in Eukaryota, Metazoa, Chordata, Aves, Passeriformes, Passerellidae. The record is from RefSeq and is a predicted model, not a curated record. The transcript is spliced from 3 exons.